RNAcentral lists this ribosomal RNA (318 nucleotides) under Triticum aestivum (bread wheat). RNAcentral's name for it is "partial small subunit ribosomal RNA". The record is from RNAcentral. Lineage: Eukaryota; Viridiplantae; Streptophyta; Magnoliopsida; Poales; Poaceae.
AUGGAUCUUCUGUGGCGGAGGACUCUGCAGUUAUUUCUGCACCCACACAGAGAACAAGGUCACAACAUGGUAUCUCGACACCAAAAGUACAUACGGAUGGUACGGUCAGUAUCAAACAAUUGGAGUCUUCAUCAAUUCGAUUUGCAGAAUGCGUUCCUUCAUGGCGUUCUAGAGGAGGAAGCAUAUAUGAAGCAACCACCUGGGUAUGAGGUUGUCCUGAUGAUAGAAGAUCAACAGGGUGCUUUGCUAUUUUCUUUGGACCAAAUCUCAUAUCAUGGAGUGCACGGAAACAAGCUACUGUGUCAAGAUCAAGCAUAG